RNAcentral lists this ribosomal RNA (164 nucleotides) under Triticum aestivum (bread wheat). RNAcentral's name for it is "5.8S ribosomal RNA". It matches the Rfam family "5.8S ribosomal RNA". From Rfam's summary of the family: 5.8S ribosomal RNA (5.8S rRNA) is a component of the large subunit of the eukaryotic ribosome. It is transcribed by RNA polymerase I as part of the 45S precursor that also contains 18S and 28S rRNA. Functionally, it is thought that 5.8S rRNA may be involved in ribosome translocation. Lineage: Eukaryota; Viridiplantae; Streptophyta; Magnoliopsida; Poales; Poaceae. The record is from RNAcentral. RNAcentral also lists the same sequence under 5 other names.
CACACGACUCUCGGCAACGGAUAUCUCGGCUCUCGCAUCGAUGAAGAACGUAGCGAAAUGCGAUACCUGGUGUGAAUUGCAGAAUCCCGCGAACCAUCGAGUCUUUGAACGCAAGUUGCGCCCGAGGCCACUCGGCCAAGGGCACGCCUGCCUGGGCGUCACGC